Molecule: ribosomal RNA, 524 nt
Filed under: uncultured bacterium
Lineage: Bacteria
Description: partial 16S ribosomal RNA
Rfam family: Bacterial small subunit ribosomal RNA
Source: RNAcentral
GACGAACGCUGGCGGCGUGCCUAAUACAUGCAAGUCGAACGCUUCUUUCCUCCCGAGUGCUUGCACUCAAUUGGAAAGAGGAGUGGCGGACGGGUGAGUAACACGUGGGUAACCUACCCAUCAGAGGGGGAUAACACUUGGAAACAGGUGCUAAUACUGCAUAACAGUUUAUGCCGCAUGGCAUAAGAGUGAAAGGCGCUUUCGGGUGUCGCUGAUGGAUGGACCCGCGGUGCAUUAGCUAGUUGGUGAGGUAACGGCUCACCAAGGCCACGAUGCAUAGCCGACCUGAGAGGGUGAUCGGCCACACUGGGACUGAGACACGGCCCAGACUCCUACGGGAGGCAGCAGUAGGGAAUCUUCGGCAAUGGACGGAAGUCUGACCGAGCAACGCCGCGUGAGUGAAGAAGGUUUUCGGAUCGUAAAACUCUGUUGUUAGAGAAGAACAAGGACGUUAGUAACUGAACGUCCCCUGACGGUAUCUAACCAGAAAGCCACGGCUAACUACGUGCCAGCAGCCGCGGUAA